This is a non-coding RNA of Amniculicola lignicola CBS 123094, 92 nucleotides long. The record is from the annotation of a GenBank genome assembly. NCBI's taxonomy places the organism in Eukaryota, Fungi, Ascomycota, Dothideomycetes, Pleosporales, Amniculicolaceae.
UCUUCCUUGGUCUAGUGGUCAUGAUUUCCGCUUGUCAAAACCAAGCGUUUAAACAAGCGCGGGAGACCGGGGUUCGAUUCCCCGAGGGAGAG